Non-coding RNA from Mesocricetus auratus (golden hamster), 102 nucleotides. Lineage: Eukaryota; Metazoa; Chordata; Mammalia; Rodentia; Cricetidae. The record is from Rfam.
GUCCUUUUGUGUUUUUAAGUGUGGUGAUUGGAUUUUCUUGCUGCUGUGUGAGACAUGUCUCCUCAAAUUUUGUUGUGAUGUCAGCACAUUAUCCAUCUGACA